Molecule: ribosomal RNA, 430 nt
Filed under: uncultured bacterium
Lineage: Bacteria
Description: partial 16S ribosomal RNA
Rfam family: Bacterial small subunit ribosomal RNA
Source: RNAcentral
GUGGGGAAUAUUGCACAAUGGGCGAAAGCCUGAUGCAGCAACGCCGCGUGAGGGACGACGGCCUUCGGGUUGUAAACCUCUUUUAGUAGGGAAGAAGCGAAAGUGACGGUACCUGCAGAAAAAGCACCGGCUAACUACGUGCCAGCAGCCGCGGUAAUACGUAGGGUGCAAGCGUUAUCCGGAAUUAUUGGGCGUAAAGAGCUCGUAGGCGGUCUGUCGCGUCUGCUGUGAAAACUGGAGGCUCAACCUCCAGCUUGCAGUGGGUACGGGCAGACUAGAGUGCGGUAGGGGAGAUUGGAAUUCCUGGUGUAGCGGUGGAAUGCGCAGAUAUCAGGAGGAACACCGAUGGCGAAGGCAGAUCUCUGGGCCGUAACUGACGCUGAGGAGCGAAAGCGUGGGGAGCGAACAGGAUUAGAAACCCGGGUAGUCC